UCUGGCGAUGAUGACAAACUUGCCCUCACUGAGAACAGUGUUCAAUAAUGAAAACUCUGUACUCGAACCUGAGCCAGA
Amblyraja radiata (thorny skate) is the source of this 78-nucleotide small nucleolar RNA. RefSeq annotates it as small nucleolar RNA SNORD103/SNORD85. The record is from RefSeq and is a predicted model, not a curated record. Lineage: Eukaryota; Metazoa; Chordata; Chondrichthyes; Rajiformes; Rajidae. The transcript has a single exon.